This 1293-nucleotide ribosomal RNA is filed under the name Enterococcus sp. Its description in RNAcentral is "bacterial SSU rRNA". It matches the Rfam family "Bacterial small subunit ribosomal RNA", at positions 113 to 1393 of the family's 1533-position model. Lineage: Bacteria; Bacillati; Bacillota; Bacilli; Lactobacillales; Enterococcaceae. The record is from RNAcentral.
ACACGUGGGUAACCUGCCCAUCAGAAGGGGAUAACACUUGGAAACAGGUGCUAAUACCGUAUAACAAUCGAAACCGCAUGGUUUUGAUUUGAAAGGCGCUUUCGGGUGUCGCUGAUGGAUGGACCCGCGGUGCAUUAGCUAGUUGGUGAGGUAACGGCUCACCAAGGCGACGAUGCAUAGCCGACCUGAGAGGGUGAUCGGCCACAUUGGGACUGAGACACGGCCCAAACUCCUACGGGAGGCAGCAGUAGGGAAUCUUCGGCAAUGGACGAAAGUCUGACCGAGCAACGCCGCGUGAGUGAAGAAGGUUUUCGGAUCGUAAAACUCUGUUGUUAGAGAAGAACAAGGAUGAGAGUAACUGUUCAUCCCUUGACGGUAUCUAACCAGAAAGCCACGGCUAACUACGUGCCAGCAGCCGCGGUAAUACGUAGGUGGCAAGCGUUGUCCGGAUUUAUUGGGCGUAAAGCGAGCGCAGGCGGUUUCUUAAGUCUGAUGUGAAAGCCCCCGGCUCAACCGGGGAGGGUCAUUGGAAACUGGGAGACUUGAGUGCAGAAGAGGAGAGUGGAAUUCCAUGUGUAGCGGUGAAAUGCGUAGAUAUAUGGAGGAACACCAGUGGCGAAGGCGGCUCUCUGGUCUGUAACUGACGCUGAGGCUCGAAAGCGUGGGGAGCAAACAGGAUUAGAUACCCUGGUAGUCCACGCCGUAAACGAUGAGUGCUAAGUGUUGGAGGGUUUCCGCCCUUCAGUGCUGCAGCUAACGCAUUAAGCACUCCGCCUGGGGAGUACGACCGCAAGGUUGAAACUCAAAGGAAUUGACGGGGGCCCGCACAAGCGGUGGAGCAUGUGGUUUAAUUCGAAGCAACGCGAAGAACCUUACCAGGUCUUGACAUCCUUUGACCACUCUAGAGAUAGAGCUUCCCCUUCGGGGGCAAAGUGACAGGUGGUGCAUGGUUGUCGUCAGCUCGUGUCGUGAGAUGUUGGGUUAAGUCCCGCAACGAGCGCAACCCUUAUUGUUAGUUGCCAUCAUUUAGUUGGGCACUCUAGCAAGACUGCCGGUGACAAACCGGAGGAAGGUGGGGAUGACGUCAAAUCAUCAUGCCCCUUAUGACCUGGGCUACACACGUGCUACAAUGGGAAGUACAACGAGUCGCAAAGUCGCGAGGCUAAGCUAAUCUCUUAAAGCUUCUCUCAGUUCGGAUUGUAGGCUGCAACUCGCCUACAUGAAGCCGGAAUCGCUAGUAAUCGCGGAUCAGCACGCCGCGGUGAAUACGUUCCCGGGCCUUGUACACACCGC